GUGUCAGCAGCCGCGGUAAUACGAAGGGUGCAAGCGUUACUCGGAAUUACUGGGCGUAAAGCGUGCGAUGGUGAUUCGUUAAGUCACAUGUGAAAGCCCUGGGCUCAACCUGGGAAUUGCAUUGGAAACUGGCGGGCUAGAGUACGGUAGAGGGUAGUGGAAUUCCUGGUGUAGCAGUGAAAUGCGUAGAGAUCAGGAGGAACAUCCGUGGCGAAGGCGACUACCUGGACCAGUACUGACACUGAGGCACGAAAGCGUGGGGAGCGAACAGGAUUAGAAACCCCAGUAGUCC
This 292-nucleotide ribosomal RNA is filed under the name uncultured prokaryote. RNAcentral's name for it is "partial 16S ribosomal RNA". It matches the Rfam family "Bacterial small subunit ribosomal RNA", at positions 505 to 796 of the family's 1533-position model. The record is from RNAcentral.